Eupeodes corollae is the source of this 433-nucleotide long non-coding RNA. RefSeq lists it as uncharacterized. The record is from RefSeq and is a predicted model, not a curated record. Lineage: Eukaryota; Metazoa; Arthropoda; Insecta; Diptera; Syrphidae. The transcript is spliced from 2 exons.
CGAGUAAAUUUAUUUUUUUCCUAGGUAUAAAUAGUAAGAGACUUGAGAUCUUCAAUCACAGUUAAACAUUGCAUCUCAGACGGUUCGGUUUUGACACACAAACUACAAACAAAAUAAAUAAACAUGAAGUUCUUAUUGUUGACUCUUUUGGUUUGCUUCGUUGCUUUGGCUCUAGUAUCUGCUGCCCCAUUGGAAGAAGGAGCUCCUGAGGACGACGAAGAUGUUUUUAAAUUGUUAUCAUUGAAGAAGAAACUUUUGGUGUUGGGUUAAAAAAAAGUGAACAAAAACUAAGAAAGGAAAACCUGAGUCACAAUGCCAUUGGAAAUACCAUUUUAACCAAAAUUAAGAAGAUAUGUGGUUUAAGCUUAGAACACACACUAUAUGAAUUAUUUAUAAGUUACGGAAGCAGAGUAAAAAUAAAAUUAAAAAAAAA